UACGGCCUUAUCAUGUUGAAACACCAGUUCUCGUACGAUCACCGAAGUUAAACAACGUCAAGCCUGGUCAUUACCUAGAUGGGGGACCGCAUAGGAAUACCAACUGCUGCAUG
Non-coding RNA from Acanthosepion pharaonis, 113 nucleotides. Lineage: Eukaryota; Metazoa; Mollusca; Cephalopoda; Sepiida; Sepiidae. The record is from the annotation of a GenBank genome assembly.